Molecule: ribosomal RNA, 501 nt
Filed under: Triticum aestivum (bread wheat)
Lineage: Eukaryota; Viridiplantae; Streptophyta; Magnoliopsida; Poales; Poaceae
Description: partial small subunit ribosomal RNA
Source: RNAcentral
AUGGCGGUGCCGCUGGAGUUCCCAGCGGAAGCUCCGGCAUCAGCACCAACGCACCCUCAACCUCCUCGCCCUCGGAUUUGGGAUCUACGUGCUUGGAUUCCCAAGUGUAGCGAAAUGCAUCGAGAUGGAUCUUCCAGAGAUCAUACUGCUGGUGGCUCUUUCCCAGUUUUAAUUGCAAGGAUGGGAGGUGGAUGCCCACACGGAUCCGGCGUCUCCAACCUCGGCAUCCACAAGGAGGAGCGGCAACAACCCCGGACCCAUCCGCUGGUGCUGCUGAUCCUGCUUGGACAUACAUGCUUCCUCUUCCACGUCGGCUACAUGACAGCCAUGGUGAGCUCUAUGCUUCCUGCAUCUUACAGUAGUUGGCCUGAGAUUAUAGUUGGGCUGGAAAUGAACUUCUUCAAUUCGAUUUCUCACCAGAAGGCUCUGAAGAUCUUCCCCUGCCCUACCUCUGGACCUCUUCGCCCCAUCGUGCAAUGCCAGACCCACAAGUACAACAUU